RNAcentral lists this ribosomal RNA (460 nucleotides) under uncultured bacterium. RNAcentral describes it as "partial 16S ribosomal RNA". It matches the Rfam family "Bacterial small subunit ribosomal RNA", at positions 338 to 795 of the family's 1533-position model. The record is from RNAcentral.
CCUACGGGAGGCAGCAGUGAGGAAUAUUGGUCAAUGGGCGCGAGCCUGAACCAGCCAUGCAGCGUGCAGGAUGACUGCCCUACGGGUUGUAAACUGCUUUUGUACGAGGAUAAACGCAGAUACGUGUAUCUUUCUGAAUGUACCGUAUGAAUAAGGAUCGGCUAACUCCGUGCCAGCAGCCGCGGUAAUACGGAGGAUCCGAGCGUUAUCCGGAUUUAUUGGGUUUAAAGGGUGCGUAGAUGGGUUGAUAAGUUAGUGGUGAAAGUUUGAGGCUCAACCUUAAAAUUGCAAUUGAUACUGGCAGUAUUGAGAGCAGUUGAGGUAGGCGGAAUGCGUGGUGUAGCGGUGAAAUGCUUAGAGAUCAUACAGAACUCCGAUUGCGAAGGCAGCUUACUAAGCUGCCUCUGACGUUGAGGCACGAAAGUGUGGGUAGCAAACAGGAUUAGAUACCCCGGUAGUC